GCGGUCGUGGCGAAAUUGGCAGACGCGCAGGACUAAGGAUCCUGUGGGAUUAAACCCUUUCGAGUUCAAGUCUCGACGACCGCACCA
RNAcentral lists this transfer RNA (87 nucleotides) under Christensenellaceae bacterium. RNAcentral describes it as "tRNA-Leu". The record is from RNAcentral. Lineage: Bacteria; Bacillati; Bacillota; Clostridia; Christensenellales; Christensenellaceae.